UCCCUUAGAUGUUCUGGGCCGCACGCGCGCUACACUGAUGCAUUCAACGAGUUCCUACCUUGGCCGAGAGGCCUGGGCAAUCUUUUGAACUUGCAUCGUGAUAGGGAUAGAUUAUUGCAAUUAUUAAUCUUGAACGAGGAAUUCCUAGUAAACGCAGAUCAUCAAUCUGCAUUGAUUACGUCCCUGCCCUUUGUACACACCGCCCGUCGCACCUACCGAUUGAAUGGUCCGGUGAAGCCUCGGGAUUGUGGUUAGUUUCCUUCAUUGGAAGUUAGCCGCGAGAACUUGUCUAAACCUUAUCAUUUAGAGGAAGGUGAAGUCGUAACA
Molecule: ribosomal RNA, 327 nt
Filed under: uncultured eukaryote
Lineage: Eukaryota
Description: partial 18S ribosomal RNA
Rfam family: Eukaryotic small subunit ribosomal RNA
Source: RNAcentral